UCUGAGACCCGAAAGGUGAGGCCUUCUUCACGCCUGGGAGACUGUGCCCGGUGCCUCUGCGGCGCUCACUAUGCCUCAAACGAGUGUAUUGAAUUACACCAUAAACGCUAUGGAUAUCGUUUGGAUUACCAUGAGAAAAAGAGAAAGAGUCUUGGAGAGUCUAGAGGCUCAUGAACGUUCAAAGAAGGCAAAGAAGAUGAUUGGUCUGAAGGCUAAGCUCUAUCAUAAGCAGCGCCACGCUGAAAAAACACAAAUGAAAAAGACUAUCAAGAUGCAUGAAAAGAGAAACACCAAGCAAAAAAACGAUGAAAAGACUCCACAGGGAGCAGUAUCUGCCUAUCUGCUGGACAGAGAGGGACAGUCCCGAGCUAAAGUGCUUUCCAAUAUGAUUAAACAAAAACGAAAAGAGAAAGCGGGAAAAUGGGAAGUCCCUUUGCCUAAAGUUCGUGCCCAGGGAGAAACAGAAGUAUUAAAAGUUAUUCGAAUGGGAAAGAGAAAGAAGAAGGCAUGGAAGAGGAUGGUUACUAAAGUUUGCUUUGUUGGAGAUGGCUUUACAAGAAAAUCACCCAAAUAUGAAAGCCUCAUUAGGCCGAUGGGCUUACGUUUCAAGAAAGCCCAUGUAACGCAUCCUGAACUGAAAGCCUUUUGCCUGCCAAUACAUGGUGUAAAGAAGAAUCCCUCAUCUCCAUUAUAUACAACUUUGGGUGUUAUUACCAAGGGUACCAUCAUUGAGGUCAAUGUGAGUGAGUUGGGCCUUGUGACACAAGGAGGCAGAGUUAUUUAGGGGAAAUAUGCACAGGUGACCAACAAUCCUGAAAACGAUGGAUGCAUAAAUGCAGUCGUACUGGUUUGACAGAUGUUUCAUAUAAGCAACUCCUUGUAAUUGUUGGCCACAUAUCAGUUGGGAAAACCACCUUUACUGUGAUGUUUCUUAAUACUACCAAAGAGCCUUACUUGUCUGCAGUCA
Carlito syrichta (Philippine tarsier) is the source of this 967-nucleotide RNA transcript. It is a transcript of the gene named ribosome biogenesis protein NSA2 homolog pseudogene, with no coding region annotated. NCBI's taxonomy places the organism in Eukaryota, Metazoa, Chordata, Mammalia, Primates, Tarsiidae. The record is from RefSeq and is a predicted model, not a curated record. The transcript has a single exon.